GCCGGCCUAGCUCAAUUGGUAGAGCAACUGACUUGUAAUCAGUAGGUUGGGGGUUCGAGUCCUCUGGCCGGCACCA
Molecule: transfer RNA, 76 nt
Filed under: Staphylococcus aureus
Lineage: Bacteria; Bacillati; Bacillota; Bacilli; Caryophanales; Staphylococcaceae
Also listed under: 18 other names
Description: tRNA-Thr(tgt)
Rfam family: tRNA
About the family: Transfer RNA (tRNA) molecules are approximately 80 nucleotides in length. Their secondary structure includes four short double-helical elements and three loops (D, anti-codon, and T loops).
Source: RNAcentral